Arvicanthis niloticus (Nile rat) is the source of this 108-nucleotide small nuclear RNA. Lineage: Eukaryota; Metazoa; Chordata; Mammalia; Rodentia; Muridae. The record is from RefSeq and is a predicted model, not a curated record.
GUGCUUGCUUCGGCAGCACAUAUUACUAAAAUUGGAAUGAUACAGAGAAGAUUAGCAUGGCCCCUGCACAAGGAUGACAUGCAAAUUCAUGAAGAGUUCCAUAUGUUU